This 945-nucleotide long non-coding RNA is filed under the name Apteryx haastii (Great spotted kiwi). RNAcentral's name for it is "lncRNA (ENSAHAG00000005993.1)". The record is from RNAcentral. Lineage: Eukaryota; Metazoa; Chordata; Aves; Apterygiformes; Apterygidae.
AUGGGGCACACGGACACCAUGGGGAUGGGGAACGUGGGGCACACGGGCGUCAUGGGGACAGGGGCACAUGGGGCAUGUGGGUGCCAUGAGGAUGGGGCACACAGGGCACAGGGACAUCAUGGGGGACCGGGCACACAGGUGUCAUUGGGAUGGGGCACGCAGGACACAGGGACAUCACAGGGAUGGGGCAUACAGGUGUCAUCAGGAUGGGGUUCCUGGGGCACAGGGACAUCAUGGGGGACAGGGCACACAGGUGUCAUUGGGAUGGGGCACCUGGGCACAGGGACAUCAUGGGGAUGGGGCACACAGGUGGCACGGGGAUGGGGCACACAGGUGGCACAGGGACAGGGCACAUGGGUGUCAUCGGGAUGGGGUACAUGGGUGUCAUCAGGAUGGGGCACCUGGGGCACAGGGACAUCAUGGGGACGGGGGCACACAGGGCACACAGGUGUUAUGGGAAUGGGCCAAACAAGUGUCAUGGGAAUGGGGCACAUGGGGCACACUGGUGUCAUCGGGAUGGGGCACCUGGGGCACAGGCACAUCACGGGGAUGGGGCACAGGGGCACCACGGGCACAGGCCAUCUGGCCACCGUGGGACCAGGGUGCCUGGUUUCAGAGGGCCAGGCCCUGGUGUUUCCCCAUCGCCACCUUCCCCACCACCUGCGGUUGCUCCUGCGCCCGGCCCAGCCCGCUCAUCCCCGGCGCGCCCUGCUUGCCUCCCCAUGUCACAUCCUUCUUGCACAAUUAGCCGGGCGGCUAGUCCCCUCCCUCCGCGCUGGUCCCUAUAAGAGGCGCCGCCGCUCCGGGUGGGCAGCUGAAAGGACGGGAAGGCCCGUGCCGGGAUUUCGGAGGCUGUUGGGUUUGCAGACUCUGCCAUGUCACGGGCAUCCAGACCGGCGCAGAGCGUCACCGUGGGCUGGGCCAGGCCGGGGAGGUGCCAGGUAA